RNAcentral lists this ribosomal RNA (270 nucleotides) under uncultured archaeon. RNAcentral's name for it is "partial 16S ribosomal RNA". It matches the Rfam family "Archaeal small subunit ribosomal RNA", at positions 728 to 998 of the family's 1478-position model. The record is from RNAcentral.
AUUAGAUACCCGGGUAGUCCAGCCGUAAACAAUGUGCGUUAGGUGUGUCGGUAACCACGCGUUACUGAUGCGCCGAAGAGAAAUCGUGAAACGCACCACCUGGGAAGUACGGUCGCAAGGCUGAAACUUAAAGGAAUUGGCGGGGGAGCACCACAACAGGUGGAGCCUGCGGUUUAAUUGGAUUCAACGCCGGACAUCUCACCGGAUAAGACAGCUGAAUGAUUGUCAAUCUGAAGGUUUUACAUGACUAGCUGAGAGGAGGUGCAUGGC